CGUACGUACGAUCGAUCAGCUUGUUGGUGAGGUAAUGGCUCACCAAGGCGACGACGGGUAGCCGGCCUGAGAGGGUGACCGGCCACACUGGGACUGAGACACGGCCCAGACUCCUACGGGAGGCAGCAGUGGGGAAUAUUGCACAAUGGGCGAAAGCCUGAUGCAGCAACGCCGCGUGAGGGAUGACGGCCUUCGGGUUGUAAACCUCUUUUAUAGGGAAGAAGCGAAAGUGACGGUACCUGCAGAAAAAGCACCGGCUAACUACGUGCCAGCAGCCGCGGUAAUACGUAGGGUGCAAGCGUUGUCCGGAAUUAUUGGGCGUAAAGAGCUCGUAGGCGGUUUGUCGGUCUGCUGUGAAAUCCCGAGGCUCAACCUCGGCUUGCAGUGGGUACGGGCAGACUAGAGUGCGGUAGGGGAGAUUGGAAUUCCUGGUGUAGCGGUGGAAUGCGCAGAUAUCAGGAGGAACACCGAUGGCGAAGGCAGAUCUCUGGGCCGUAACUGACGCUGAGGAGCGAAAGCAUGGGGAGCGAACAGGAUUAGAUACCCUGGUAGUCCAUGCCGUAAACGUUGGGCGCUAGAUGUAGGGACCUUUCCACGGUUUCUGUGUCGUAGCUAACGCAUUAAGCGCCCCGCCUGGGGAGUACGGCCGCAAGGCUAAAACUCAAAGGAAUUGACGGGGGCCCGCACAAGCGGCGGAGCAUGCGGAUUAAUUCGAUGCAACGCGAAGAACUUACCAAGGCUUGAAUACACCGGAAACGGCCAGAGAUGGUCGCCCCCUUGUGGUCGGUGUACAGGUGGUGCAUGGUUGUCGUCAGCUCGUGUCGUGAGAUGUUGGGUUAAGUCCCGCAACGAGCGCAACCCUCGUUCUAUGUUGCCAGCGGGUUAUGCCGGGGACUCAUAGGAGACUGCCGGGGUCAACUCGGAGGAAGGUGGGGAUGACGUCAAAUCAUCAUGCCCCUUAUGUCUUGGGCUUCACGCAUGCUACAAUGGCCGGUACAAAGGGCUGCGAUACCGUAAGGUGGAGCGAAUCCCAAAAAGCCGGUCUCAGUUCGGAUUGAGGUCUGCAACUCGACCUCAUGAAGCGGAGUCGCUAGUAAUCGCAGAUCAGCAACGCUGCGGUGAUGGCCUAGCUAGUC
This 1136-nucleotide ribosomal RNA is filed under the name Curtobacterium flaccumfaciens. Its description in RNAcentral is "bacterial SSU rRNA". It matches the Rfam family "Bacterial small subunit ribosomal RNA", at positions 226 to 1379 of the family's 1533-position model. The record is from RNAcentral. Lineage: Bacteria; Bacillati; Actinomycetota; Actinomycetes; Micrococcales; Microbacteriaceae.